GUGCCAGCAGCCGCGGUAAUACGUAGGUGGCAAGCGUUGUCCGGAAUUAUUGGGCGUAAAGCGCGCGCAGGCGGUCCUUUAAGUCUGAUGUGAAAGCCCAUGGCUCAACCGUGGAGGGUCAUUGGAAACUGGGGGGACUUGAGUACAGAAGAGAAGAGUGGAAUUCCACGUGUAGCGGUGAAAUGCGUAGAGAUGUGGAGGAACACCAGUGGNGAAGGCGACUCUUUGGUCUGUAACUGACGCUGAGGCGCGAAAGCGUGGGGAGCAAAC
This 270-nucleotide ribosomal RNA is filed under the name unidentified soil organism R6-132. RNAcentral describes it as "partial 16S ribosomal RNA". It matches the Rfam family "Bacterial small subunit ribosomal RNA", at positions 505 to 773 of the family's 1533-position model. The record is from RNAcentral.